Non-coding RNA from Phoenix dactylifera (date palm), 3202 nucleotides. Lineage: Eukaryota; Viridiplantae; Streptophyta; Magnoliopsida; Arecales; Arecaceae. The record is from RefSeq and is a predicted model, not a curated record.
AAUGGUGCACCGAGAUACGAGCUUGAUGGCGGGGGCGUUCUUCCCCCUUUAUCCCCUCCUCUGUUAACCCUUUUUGGCCGCAUCCUCUGUCCCAAGAUCCAUUCCCCAUCCUUCUCUCCCGAUUUUUUUAGCUCCCAUCACCAUUCCUUAAUUCUGACGCUUGGACACUCUCGCUGCUUCUCGUGCCACACCUCCGCUACCGAGAUUCGAUCGCCGACGACUUCGCCGGCGCCGUCUCCGCCGCCACCCUGUUUGUGGCGACAAUAUCCAUCAAAGCAACAUCUUUUAUAGGCAUAAUUUCCAUACUAUUUGCGGGAGGUUUUGAAAAGAGUCAGUUUUGCUGGUACCAUUUUGUUCAUUCUAUAUGCCUUUAUCAAGAGAAAUAUGUGGAUUUUCGACUCAACUGCUGAAUAUCUCCAUAGCUUCCCUGUGUAAAGCUAGGAAUUUAGAAAAAGCCGAGGCUGUUUUAAUUGACGGUAUAAGACUCGGAUAUAUUCCAGAUGUUGUAACAUACAAUACAUUGAUUACGGCAUAUUGCCGCUUUGUCGGGAUAAAUGAAGCAUACUCGAUUCUUUAUAGAAUGAGAGAAGCAGGCGUAAAACCUGAUGUAAUUACUUACAAUUCUUUAAUUGCUGGGGCUACUCGAUAUUGCCUUCCAUCACGCUCGCUGGAGCUGUUCGAAGAAAUGUUGCAGACUGGACUUGCUCCUGAUGAAUGGAGCUAUAACACUCUGAUGCACUGUUUGUUUAAAUCUGGAUACCCGGAGGAGGCCUACAAGAUUUAUAUGGAUAUGAUCUUGAAAAAUAUCACCCCUUCAUCGGCUACAUAUAAUACUUUAAUAAAUGGUUUGUGCAAGGUGGGGAAGGCAGGGAAUGCUCUGAGACUGUUUAGAAACUUGCAAAGGUUUGGGUUUUCUGCGGGGCUGGUGACAUAUAAUACAAUUAUAGACGGGCUCUGUAAAUCUGGCAGGAUGGGUCAGGCAAGAAGGAUUCUCAAGGAACUUGGAGAAUCAGGUUAUGCUCCAAAUGCCAUAACUUAUACGACAGUUAUGAAGUGCUGCUUUAGAUCUGGGAAAUUUGAGCAAGGAUUUGAGAUUUUUUCUGAAAUGAUGAAUAAAGGGUACAAUUCAGAUGUCUUUGCCUAUUGCACAGUAAUCAGCGCAUUGACCAAGAAAGGUAUGAUUAAAGAUGCUAAUGCUUGUGUCAAGCAAAUGUUGGGAAAUGGUAUUGGCCUUGAUAAAGCAUGUUAUAACACUCUAAUUUAUCUGCUUUGCAGAGAAGGAAAUUUAGAAACUGCAUUCCGGUUGCUGAAUGAGAUGGAAGAAGGUGGCCUUGAGGGUGAUGAGUAUACGUACUCUAUUUUGGUCGAUGCGUUGUGUAAAAUGGGUCACGUUGAUGCUGCCCACAAGCAGUUGCAAUUGAUGGAGAUGAGGGGCUUCCAGUCAAACUUGGUAGCUUAUAAUUGCUUGAUUGAUGGGCUGUGUAAGGUGGGAGAGGUGGAUUCUGCCAUGAAGUUAUUCAAUAAGAUGAAUUCCAAGGAUCCUUUCACAUACACAUCAUUGGUGCAUGGCCUAUGCAGGAAGGGUCGGUUUCGUGUGGCAUCCAAGCUCUUGCUGACUUGCUUAAGGGAAGGCAUGAAUGUUCUCAGAUCUGCCCAACGUGCCGUUACUGCUGGACUUCAAAGUUCGGGGUUUAAAAGGGAUGCAGGGAAGCUUAGGACAGCAUUACGCCUGGCUCAGCUUUCACGCUACUAAAUUAGGGAAAGGAAACAAAGAGAUUAUUUAUAUAUGAAAUUGCUCCAGGGAUACACUCUCAAGAGGAUGAAAACAUGGCUGUUGCUGCUCUGCGACUCGAAGCAAAGGAAGCAUUGGUGAUACACCUGAAUCUGAGAUGUUGCAUGAAAUUCCUUGCAUGGACUCGAUCUAACAACUCUCUUUGAUAGAGGAAGUAGCCCUUGAAAGGACCAAGUGAUUGAGCCUGGAAUAAAGCACUUCUUACCUUAUGAGCCAGACCCAUCUACCAAAGGAGUCAAACUUGCUUUGGAAUCUUUCCAGAAUGUUGUAUCUCUACCUGCUUCCUACACAAUUCGCUAUUCAAAUAUUUUCUAGAAAUCCAGUUCCUGGUCCUGGUCCUGCUCUUGAUUCAGGUGACGAGCCUUAUUCACUCUUGGCCUUUCCAAAAUGUAACCACAACAAACUUGAAGGCUCCAUGAGCACCUAUUUCAGAGAAAGUGAGACAAAUUGUGCAUUCCAAGUCGAGACUUGAUCCACAACUGAAGGUACUCUCCUAAGCUCAUAUCUGGGGAUCCUAGAAGUAGGACCCAAUUUGGACAACUGGGUAGUUACAAGUUUGGUUGCGCAUAGGAGGGCAUCAGAAGUCGCUUCACUUAUGGGGGAAGUCGCUUCAGGUGUUUGGUUGUCCUGAAGUGGCCCAUACUGGGUUCCCACUGUGAGAGGAACUGUGCUAAAAAAUGCAGGAACUUUGGCUGGCAGGGAGCCGAAGUCACUUAGGCAAAGUGAGUUGCACCAUCUACUUAUGAGAAACCAACAAGCAUUAGAUUGCAUCCGGAGUUAUGAAUACACUCCAAGAUGCAGUGUCAGUCCAUUGCAGACGGAAUGCAUGGCGGGAGAGAAGAUGACAUUAAGUAGCCCUAAGGAACUCGGAAGAUGAGACAUGAUACGCACCAUUCCUUGCUUCCACACACAAUUUCUUAUCUUGGUAAAGCUCGUAUUGAUAAGUGGUUUAGAAUAGUGGUUUAGUCUGUGGAAGUGUUUGCCCAUUGUCUACCUGUGUUCAUAAGGUAUAUAGAUGGCCAUUUGUAUGCUGGCCCUGGCUGUGUCCAAACCCUGCACAGAUUCUUGCUGGUCCAUGGAAGGUAGAUGCAGUUUGGUUGGAGUCACGACUCUGCUGAAGUGAUAGCGGUACUAACAUAGAUUGCAGUGUUCUCCUUGAGAAAAACGAGGAUGGUCUCUCGUGGGCCACACACGUCUACAGGAAGACGAACAGCAUGGCCGAUGGGUGGCCUCAUUUGCAGCCCACCACUUGGGAGGAUUCAUCUGGGGCGACCGUGCAUCAGUGCCUCGGUCUCUGUAUUAUCUUUUCUUUUCUGAUUUUGUUUGUUGUACUCAUAUCCGACGCGUGUAAGUUGCCGUUGCACCCAAACAAACAAACAAAAAAAAAGGACUUGUGUUAAAUCUUCAAAG